ACAUGCCAUGCGUGGCAAAGCUCUGCACGCUUUCUUUACUGCGGCUGAGAACCGAUGACGAAUCGCACUUUUAACCGAGUCUGCUGUGAGCUCCAUCUGCAGACGGAGAGGUUUUGCUCUGAGCGAGCGCACUUUGCGGCCCUGAUUAUGCUGACCAGCUCAUAAAUACAGCUACAGCUGUGAAUGUGAUGAUGGGAGGGAAUGACCCCGGAGGACCCUGCCCCGACCCAUCCCCGUCCAGAUCUCCGCUGCGGCUGCCAUCCCAUAAUGCAAACAAACAGGAACGUGACCCUUUCCUUUCCCAAACUUGGAAUCCAGCCCCCGCCGCUCCGGUUCCUCCCCCCACUCCGAGGGGAAUCCUCCGCCCAUUCGGGGGCAUUCCACAUCCUGUCUGGAUGACUGUUGAGAAUGUGAAUAGAAAAGACAGCUUGUGGAAGAAUUAAAAAAAAACGUAGAUGUUAUUUAAUUGUCGUUUCUUUACUAUAGGGCCCAGAUUCAUGAGCGAUUUGGUCAGCAGCUUGGCCCAACCAGAGAGCCGUGGUAUUUCAUAACAAUGUGCAAAGACUGGAAAGCUGCCUAAUAGCACCGGCAGAAAAAAAAAUAAAAAUAUUAAUAAUCCUC
Mugil cephalus (flathead mullet) is the source of this 621-nucleotide long non-coding RNA. RefSeq lists it as uncharacterized. The transcript is spliced from 2 exons. Lineage: Eukaryota; Metazoa; Chordata; Actinopteri; Mugiliformes; Mugilidae. The record is from RefSeq and is a predicted model, not a curated record.